GGGGGCGAUUCGGCUUCGACGGGAAACAGGGAAGCUUGUGCCGCAUGCCGAGCUUGGUUAACUCGUAAAACUGAUCAAGCACGAUAAGUGCCGAACCAAUUAACGCACUCGCAGCCUAAAAGAACUGCGACGUCUCAGAACGUCAUGCCCGCUGGGCUUUCUGAGGCGUAAUUUAAGCGGGAUGGCUGGUACGUGAUUCCAGGGGCGCUUGCCAGCGAGAUUUUACUCGGGACUGCGGUAAAAAACCUGCCUGCCGGUGAUUUUGCCGUCUGAUUCAAAAGACAGGAUAAGCAUGUAGAAGCCUGGUGAAACUUUUUCCGGACCCGGGUUCGAUUCCCGGCGCCUCCACCA
RNAcentral lists this transfer-messenger RNA (351 nucleotides) under bacterium. RNAcentral describes it as "RKRQ01 sp009837205 Standard tmRNA". It matches the Rfam family "transfer-messenger RNA". From Rfam's summary of the family: Bacterial tmRNA, also known as 10Sa RNA or SsrA, is named for its dual tRNA and mRNA-like properties. RNAcentral also lists the same sequence under 1 other name. The record is from RNAcentral.